Daucus carota subsp. sativus is the source of this 961-nucleotide long non-coding RNA. RefSeq lists it as uncharacterized. NCBI's taxonomy places the organism in Eukaryota, Viridiplantae, Streptophyta, Magnoliopsida, Apiales, Apiaceae. The record is from RefSeq and is a predicted model, not a curated record. The transcript is spliced from 2 exons.
AGAUUAUACUUAACAUAUACAACCGUAACAACCCUACAGAUCCUUAUUCAUUUUCUUUCUUUUUCCAGAUCUGAGUAAGCUGCGGCCGCCUUCUCAACCCUAAUUCCCUAAAUCUCUCAUACUCUCACUCGCCCUCUCUUCCAAAUCAAGAACACUCCCUCUCUUUUCGAAUCUCCUCCCCUCUCACUCCCCCUUCACUCCGAUUUUAAUCUCCGAUUUGAUUUCGAAACUCGCCCUCUCCCCUGAAUUCGUAUUUGAAUGCAGAGAAUUAAUAUGUGAAUGGAGAUGACUGGUUAAGAGCUGCAGUCCAGCUUUCAAGUUAAAUCGAAGACUGAAGAUUUUCACUUUCUUAUGCAUUCAAGUUGAAUUUCCACUAAUUUGUAUUAAAGUUGUAAUAUUUGAUGAAUUUAAUUUGUGAAUGUUUCGUGUCAUUUCGGGUCGUGUCGGGUAACCCGAAAUCUAUUCGAGUCGUGUUCGGGUUGGGUACCUGUACCCAUUAAAUUUUCGGGUCGGGUUCGGGUUGGGUAAAAAAUACUGCCCGAGAAUGUUGACCCGACACGAACCCGACCCACAACCCGAUAUUGCCAGCCCUAAUCAUAAGAGGAGGCACCACCGAGUUUCCAAGCGCAUCACUCUUCCUCCGUCUCUCUCGUCUCUUUUUCGUCAAAUAACUAGUUGAACUUCCAACAUCACCGGCGGUAACCACCUUUUGUGGUUGGGCCGGUAUUGGUAUGUGAUCAGAAGCAUGUGAGUCGAGCGUAUUUUUCCCUUUCUCCGCCAUCUUCAAAGGUUACAACAAUGGUUUUCUUGUGUGUUUGUUGUUUGUGUUUUUAUUUUGUGGGUGAGAGUAUAUGUUCUUCCCUUGCAUGAUAUUUAUAGGAGUUUGUGAUUAUUUUCACAUGGGGAUUUUGUAAAAUGAAUCAAUUCCUACAUUAAAUGAUAUCUAAAAACUUCUUACUAA